Molecule: ribosomal RNA, 465 nt
Filed under: Vreelandella stevensii
Lineage: Bacteria; Pseudomonadati; Pseudomonadota; Gammaproteobacteria; Oceanospirillales; Halomonadaceae
Description: partial 16S ribosomal RNA
Rfam family: Bacterial small subunit ribosomal RNA
Source: RNAcentral
CCUACGGAGUGCAGCAGUGGGGAAUAUUGGACAAUGGGCGAAAGCCUGAUCCAGCCAUGCCGCGUGUGUGAAGAAGGCCUUCGGGUUGUAAAGCACUUUCAGUGGGGAAGAAAGCCUUGGGGCUAAUACCCUCGAGGAAGGACAUCACCCACAGAAGAAGCACCGGCUAACUCCGUGCCAGCAGCCGCGGUAAUACGGAGGGUGCGAGCGUUAAUCGGAAUUACUGGGCGUAAAGCGCGCGUAGGCGGUCUGAUAAGCCGGUUGUGAAAGCCCCGGGCUCAACCUGGGAACGGCAUCCGGAACUGUCAGGCUAGAGUGCAGGAGAGGAAGGUAGAAUUCCCGGUGUAGCGGUGAAAUGCGUAGAGAUCGGGAGGAAUACCAGUGGCGAAGGCGGCCUUCUGGACUGACACUGACGCUGAGGUGCGAAAGCGUGGGUAGCAAACAGGAUUAGAUACCCGGGUAGUC